RNAcentral lists this ribosomal RNA (245 nucleotides) under uncultured bacterium. Its description in RNAcentral is "partial 16S ribosomal RNA". It matches the Rfam family "Bacterial small subunit ribosomal RNA", at positions 524 to 767 of the family's 1533-position model. The record is from RNAcentral.
UACGUAGGGUGCGAGCGUUAAUCGGAAUUACUGGGCGUAAAGCGUGCGCAGGCGGUUUCGUAAGACAGAUGUGAAAUCCCCGGGCUUAACCUGGGAACUGCGUUUGUGACUGCGAGACUUGAGUGCGGCAGAGGGGGGUGGAAUUCCACGUGUAGCAGUGAAAUGCGUAGAUAUCUGGAGGAACACCGGUGGCGAAGGCGGCCCCCUGGCGUCGAUACUGACACUGAGGUGCGAAAGACUGGGGA